CCUACGGGUGGCAGCAGUGAGGAAUAUUGGUCAAUGGACGAGAGUCUGAACCAGCCAAGUAGCGUGAAGGAUGACUGCCCUAUGGGUUGUAAACUUCUUUUAUAUGGGAAUAAAACGUUCCACGUGUGGGAUUUUGUAUGUACCAUAUGAAUAAGGAUCGGCUAACUCCGUGCCAGCAGCCGCGGUAAUACGGAGGAUCCGAGCGUUAUCCGGAUUUAUUGGGUUUAAAGGGAGCGUAGGUGGAUUGUUAAGUCAGUUGUGAAAGUUUGCGGCUCAACCGUAAAAUUGCAGUUGAAACUGGCAGUCUUGAGUACAGUAGAGGUGGGCGGAAUUAGUGGUGUAGCGGUGAAAUGCUUAGAUAUCACGAAGAACUCCGAGUGCGAAGGCAGUUCACUGGACUGCAACUGACACUGAGGCUCGAAAGUGUGGGUAUCAAACAGGAUUAGAUACCCGAGUAGUC
Molecule: ribosomal RNA, 460 nt
Filed under: uncultured bacterium
Lineage: Bacteria
Description: partial 16S ribosomal RNA
Rfam family: Bacterial small subunit ribosomal RNA
Source: RNAcentral